Long non-coding RNA from Oreochromis niloticus (Nile tilapia), 3569 nucleotides. RefSeq lists it as uncharacterized. The record is from RefSeq and is a predicted model, not a curated record. Lineage: Eukaryota; Metazoa; Chordata; Actinopteri; Cichliformes; Cichlidae. The transcript is spliced from 3 exons.
UCAUGCUGCUCCGACGUCAUGCCAGCGCAUAUUGGGAAUGACAUUGGCACCGAUCGGUAGUGACAGCGUGCACCGGACCACGCUUGAUAUUUGAGGAAAUCGACGGUACAUUUGUGUGUGAAUCCGAGAAGCACUGAGAGCCUCAGAUUAACCAAUCAGUCAGAUCGCUGUCUCGACUUCUCCUCAUCCUUCUUCGUUCCCUUGGUUUUUUAAGUACCUUGUAUAUGUUGGGAUUCUUUAGCUAGUUAACCAUCACAUUAGCAAACUGCUUCGGAGCACAGCUGCCGGAGUCGCGGGUUUUCUUGAAUCAGGCGUUGGACCUGCUGGAGGAAUGCUCUGCGAUGAUGGUGGAAAACAACCGCCAUUCAACCCAUUUGAGAGAUUCAAAGAACUAGCUACAGAAUAAAUUGUGACCGGGCUCACUGGCUGAGAUGGCGGAGCCAAACAUCGACAUGUUAACUGUGACUGCGAAGUUCCUGUAUGAACCGAACAACUCUGAAAAUCCAGGAAGAGCUGAGUGUGUUUUCUUCAAAGCUCAGAUGGAAUUUGAUGGACUAACAUGCUGCAUUUAGGACAUUAUCAAACUGGUAUAUGAAGAGUGGUACCACUAGAAAGUGUGGUACCACAAUGUCUCACUUCGUGCUUGCUCUUCUCCAGCCUCUGCUGUCACUUUGUAGUCACUUGUGUUGUUAUUAUCUUAUUUGUUGCGAUUUAGAAUCUGUGAGCACAAGCAGAGGUUUUAGCUCGGGAAGCAAGCGUGACCUCGUUUUCAGAGUGUAACUCCGAAAUGACAACACAGGCACGGCUUCUUCAAGACGGGUGCUUUGCUGCAUUUAUUGAACGCCGUGAAAACUUGUGGCCGCCUGCCACUUUGGAGGUCCUAGAACAAUAACUUUACAGUCCUGUGCAUUCUUGAACAGCUGGUAGACUAACCAGGCUUUUGCAGAUAGCUCACUGAACUCCUUAGCGUGAUUAUUAAACAUGGGCUGACAGCCUAUAUUAUCACACCCAAACCUCGCGAUACUAGCGGUGUAACAAAAACUUAUUCUUUGUGACAAGAUAAACAUGUCUCCUCUCCUACACAAGAUAAAAUGCACCUUUACAAUAUUAUCCACAGAAAUGUACAAGCAAGAACAUUUUAACUGCUGGAACCAACUAUUAAACUUCUUUAUACAUAAGGCAUUUAUGUGACACUUACACAGAGGCAUCUCUAAAAUUUAAUGAUUGUGAAAUAUGUCAAACUUUUCUCCUCUACUUUAUCAGCUAAGAGCAUUUUUAGCACAGUGGAGAAAAGGUGUGCACUGAGGAUCUUGAACUAUAGCGUUUAAGUGUUGUCACUGCUGAGGAUUGGUGGACACAGAUCCUUAUUUACUACGCUGCUGUUUACAGUUUAAACGUCUUCAUGAGAAAAAGCACUUUUAGUUGUACUUUGCUCCUCACUGUCUUUGAAAAGCAAGAGCUGAUCAAACAAAUCCAGUAAUUGCACUUUUAUCUUUAUGUUUGGUUUAGUAAUGUGUCUUAAUCUAUUUUGUGUUUUUAUUUAUCAUGUGGGGAAACAUCCUGUCAGCCCUGUGCUGAGAGGGCUGUGGUCAUCCAUCUGUCCUGUUCUGAUAAACCCAAAUUUCAGGAACACCUUCUUUAGAUCUGUUCAUUUUUAUUCAUAUAGCACCAGUCAACAAAUCUUGUUUCAUGUCACUUCAUAUUGUAACGUAGAAAACAAUGUUGCAAUUAUAUGUUAAUUGUAUAUAAUGGACCAUGUGUUCUUUCUGCGUUUAUCUCAACACAUGCUGAAACCAGCAAACUUACAGAAUAUACACAAAGUAAUUCUGAAAUCGCACCUCUAUAAUGUACAGCUCAGUUAAACUUAGCUGCAAAAAUAGUCUUCUUUUAAACUAUUAAUUCACAGAAUAAGCAUUCAAUGAAAAAUGCAAAACCAACAAAAAGUACUGAGGUUUCCACAUUGCAAAACAAAGAAACAUCGCAGUGAAUGUAGUGCAGUGUGAUUAGCAUGUCCUCUCUGAUCUAGUUUAUGUGUCAACAUGUUUGUAUGUGUCCUUGUGUGAGUGACAGAGAAAAAUUGUACGGGUUCGUACUAUCCUGGUGGGGACCAAAAUCUGACAUUUACUAUACUGGUGGGGACUUUCUGCACCGUGGGGACCAAAAUCCAUGUCCCCUCUGGGUUGAAAGCAAUUUUCACACUGAAAAUGUGGUUUUAGUGUCAGGGUUACAAUUAGGUUAUGGUUAGGUUUAGGUUUAGGGUAAUGGUUAGGGUUAGGGUAAGGGGCUAGGGAAACCAUUAUGCCAAUGGGAUGUCCCCACGAGGAUAGGAAACCAGACGUGUGUGUGUGUGUGUGUGUGUGUGUGUGUAACAAUGAACUAUUCUGCAUUGCAUUUGCAAAAGACCAAACUGGCCCAAAGUCUGUCAGUCAUUUGUCCACGAUGAGGCCGUUGAAUGUUGCCACCAUAGCUGAAAACACGCUCCACUGCAGCACUACAUGCAGGUACUGCCUGGUGGCCACAAGAAACAGUGAACGAAGAGUCUGCAUGUUCAUUGCCCAGAACAAGAGGGCGUUCUGUCCAUCAGCAAUAUCCAGGUAGUGACUUAGCUGUAGCUAGGUUUGUCACCUAACCCCCAGCACGGAUGGAACAGCAGGACUGAUCCUGACUAUUUUCUCACCUUGUGUCAAAUCUGUUGCUGCUCCAAAAAGCUUCAAGUUGUCCACCAUCUCCUUCAACAGGUUCAUGCUGUGAAUAAUAAUUCCUUGUGCGCAGCCAUUUCAAGAAGAGCAGAGAGUUUUAGAUGUUCACAUUGAAGAACAGCCUUUACUUGUCUCAGUGUUGAAUUCCAUCUUGUGAUUAUAGCAGCAGGGAUCGCUUUCUGUUCACCAAAAUUCAGCUUCAGAUACAUCUUUGAAUGUUGUGCUUGUGUGCAGUAGAGAGCUGAGCUUAGAUAACUUUGAAAGAGAAGGACAUGUCACUUUGGUCUCUCACAGCCCAUCUCUCACCACCAGCUGAAGUGGUUGUUCUGCGACAUACUGGGCUGUAUUUGCUCUUGUUUUGUGGGGAACUCCACAGACUUGCAGCUACAGCAAGUUUUUAUUUUUCGAUAAAUCAGAGUGAUGGAGCUGUAAAGGCAGGUUUCAUCACAGCAGAGGAUUUCAUUUAAUGUGCAUUCUUUAGGUUUAUAUCUGCAACCAGAACUACUCAGACUGCAUUGUGAGGCGGCUGUGCACGACCUGCAUUUAUGUUAAAUUAAAGUACUUAAUGCGAGCGUGAUUUCCCUGUGCGGAUAUGAAUGAAACGCUGUACCUGUCAUCUUAACAGUGGGCAGGGUGGUGGAGAUGUUCUGAGGGUGAGGCGGUCGCACUGUGAUGGGAACGCAGCCGGCGUACAGGCAGCCAGAAAAGGCUGCGAUCAGGUCUGUACCUGCAGAAGAAGGAGACACACUGGUGUGAACGAUGCUUGCAGUGUCCAGACCGCCUCUCUCCAUCAGCAGAGCUGCCACUCGCUCCGCCCUCUUAUUUAGCUGCAGACAGGUGAGAGAGCUGGACACUGCCCCCUGCAGGAGG